RNAcentral lists this long non-coding RNA (323 nucleotides) under Oryza brachyantha (malo sina). RNAcentral's name for it is "long non-coding RNA (OBRA_LNC003568)". Lineage: Eukaryota; Viridiplantae; Streptophyta; Magnoliopsida; Poales; Poaceae. The record is from RNAcentral.
UGAUCCCUCGCCAUCGACGGGCCCCUCUCCGCUCGCCCUUGCCGGUGAUUUGGGGUCCCGCCGAACCUCUCUUCUACCGCUGCCGCCGCCGCCGACGAUGACGACGCCCAUCCCGGCCUCCAGCGCGGGCCUGCCGCGGACCGCCUCUUGCCGCCGAACCUCUCUUCAUCCACCUCCUAGAUCCAGCCAUCUCUAGCGGAGGAAUGAGGAGAGCACCAGGAGGAGAGCAGGGGAGGGGGCACCAUCGGGGAGGAUGAUCUGCUGCGGGGAGCACCAGGAGGAGAGCUAGCUCAAAGAAGCAUUUGAGAGGAAGAUGAGCACUG